Herpailurus yagouaroundi (jaguarundi) is the source of this 143-nucleotide long non-coding RNA. RefSeq lists it as uncharacterized. The record is from RefSeq and is a predicted model, not a curated record. The transcript has 3 exons. Lineage: Eukaryota; Metazoa; Chordata; Mammalia; Carnivora; Felidae.
UGGUAUUGUCUUCUCGGAGAGCAGGGGAUAUGAUAUGGAGACAUGCCUUGGAAAAAGCCCUUGCGUAGGUAGGGAAGGUGAGAACCUGUGGCGGACAGGAUUGGAAAAGCACACGUCUGACUUCGGCUCAGGUCAUGAUCUCG